AGCUCACUGGUGGUUUCUCUGCUUCUCCAGUGACACCAACCGAGAAAUUGCAUCUGGUGAUGACAUCUGUGUAUGUUCAGUGGUUAUUUAUUCCACUGAAGAAAAAUUAGCUGUGUAGUCACUCUGAAAACUCUUUCUUAUAGAGCGGGAAGAUGUUGCCUUGCUUUCUAGGGAUGAAGAACUCAAUAUUGCAGGGGCUGAGUGACCUCCUUCCUCCGUGAGUUUACCUGAUGCCAGCCGAGGAUGCUUAGCACAUCACAGAAAUGCAUUUCGCUUCCAGGCAGUGAAAUUCUGACUCUUUUGAAAUUAAUGGGAGUUCUGCCAUCAAUCUGGGCUGUCACCCACUAAUACGGAUGAACAAGAAGUGGAAGAGAAAAAUCACCUGAAUUACUGCCACUUAAUAGAAUAAACCGGGAACAUCUGCCUCUGAAAAGCACGAGGAGCUUUUCAACAAUGGCAUGUGGUGCAGUGUCUGCAGCACUUAAUUCUGAGCAGCGUAAUUCUGAUCUCUGGUAAGACUGACGGAAUCAUGACUGGAUGAGGAAACCUCAACGUUUUGGGUUGAAACUGCUGCCAUUGUUAGAUAUCCACAGAGAGGACACUUGAGAUACUUGACAAGCUUUGUGAGGUGUUAAUUGGCAAUUGUCCUUAGUUCAGCCCCUUCUGAAGAAGAGCCAAAGAGCUCAAGGAGAAGGCCUUGCAGGAAUUAGUCUUUGAAGCAGCAGAAGCUCUUGGUGAGAAAUGCAUCAGCUGGCUCAGCUGACUCAACUGCACCGAGAGCAACUCUGUUACUUAUUUCCUACCAUCUUGGAAGAACGAGAAUACCUCAACGGCAAAGCUCCAUGGAAAGUCUGGAGACAGCUUACCCAUCCACCUGUCUAUCCAAAUCCCUCUCUAUCCCUAGCUCAUGGCUGAAGUAUUUAUGUGCUAGUCUAGCUGGUUUAUUAUGGGAGGUAGAGGUUGCAAUGAUAGUUGUUCAGAUGCCAACAAGUAGGCAUAUGAAGUCCAUCAGAUGAUAUAAAGUAUGUAAGACAUCUGUGUAGAAAUGACAGUGAAGAUGAAGGAAGAUCUAGAAGAGUCUGGCACCUUCUGGAGAGACAGCUGGACACCACGCAGGCUGCCUGCAGUCAAAAAUGUCUUUUAGGCAACAGAUUCCUACCUCGCAUGACUCACAACUUUCCAUGAAGUUCUGUGUCAUCAGGGACAAAUGCCACAAUUUGCCGGUUCUCCCGACAUGUAUGGAACACAGUGUUCUCAUCCACUUUUUAGGUCAAAAGCAGUCGAUAUGUUCUCAGUGAAACGCAGCUUGUUUCACUCCGUAAUAUACUGCAGAAAGACACAAGAUGCCAUGUUUUAAUGACCUAUUAAAAUGCACCUACUGUGCUUUAAAAAGCUUCAGUUUGGGAAACUUUAGCUACCCAAAACUGUACUAAUAGUCAAGUAAUACAUGCUUUACUGUGUGCUAUUCCUAUAGUAAUUUGGUUCUGUAAUAUUUAUCAAUAAACAUCCAUUUUAAUGAAAUCUA
This is a long non-coding RNA of Corvus hawaiiensis (hawaiian crow), 1525 nucleotides long. RefSeq lists it as uncharacterized. The transcript is spliced from 4 exons. The record is from RefSeq and is a predicted model, not a curated record. NCBI's taxonomy places the organism in Eukaryota, Metazoa, Chordata, Aves, Passeriformes, Corvidae.